GACGAACGCUGGCGGCGUGCUUAACACAUGCAAGUCGAACGGAAAGGCCCUGCUUUUGUGGGGUGCUCGAGUGGCGAACGGGUGAGUAACACGUGAGUAACCUGCCCUUGACUUUGGGAUAACUUCAGGAAACUGGGGCUAAUACCGGAUAGGAGCUCCUGCUGCAUGGUGGGGGUUGGAAAGUUUCGGCGGUUGGGGAUGGACUCGCGGCUUAUCGGCUUGUUGGUGGGGUAGUGGCUUACCAAGGCUUUGACGGGUAGCCGGCCUGAGAGGGUGACCGGCCACAAUGGGACUGAGAUACGGCCCAGACUCCUACGGGAGGCAGCAGUGGUGAAUAUUGCACAAUGGGCGGAAGCCUGUUGCAGCAACGCCGCGUGCGGGAUGACGGCCUUCGGGUUGUAAACCGCUUUCGCCUGUGACGAAGCGUGAGUGACGGUAAUGGGUAAAGAAGCACCGGCUAACUACGUG
This 468-nucleotide ribosomal RNA is filed under the name uncultured bacterium. RNAcentral describes it as "partial 16S ribosomal RNA". It matches the Rfam family "Bacterial small subunit ribosomal RNA", at positions 28 to 507 of the family's 1533-position model. The record is from RNAcentral.